CCCACAACCAUAUAACCAACUAUUUCUACAGCUACAGUCACUGCCAGCCAUAUCAUAGCACUGAAAAAAUAACACAUAUUUUAAGCUUUUUUAAAAGUAAAACAGAAGAUUUGACGAUAUUUGUAUUUUAAUCAUAUAGCGUGACGUUUUACUACAAGGAGAUACAAUGCAUUUUACAUUACAAAAGCGAAAUAAGACGUGGAUGCCUGCUACCAAUUUGAGCAUCGUGGGAUUGGUGGUUUAUAUUUUGGCCUGCCCUGCGUCCAGUAUGGAUGUCCUGGUCCAUAACCAGAUCAACGUCCUGAACGGCACCAUGGUGAGGAUCCAGUGCAUCUUCACCUCCUGCUACAAGAUGGACGUCAACAAGUUUGCCAUGAACUGGACCUACCAGGAGAACACCAACGAGACUGAGGAGAUGUUCAUGACCUAUAAGAAGGGGAUGAUGCCCCUGCGGACAGACCGGUUCAGUGACCGGGUGCAGUUUGUGGGUAACCUGGAAAAGAACGACUUGUCCAUCACCCUCUCUGAUGUCCAGCUGUCGGACGAGGGCGUCUAUAACUGCUAUGUCCGUAACCCCCCUGACCGCAUCCAGGGCCACGGAAUCAUCAACAUGUUUGUCGUCACAGAAUUGCCUCCCCCACGGGACUCGACCAUAGCGGUGGCGAUCGGGGCGUCAGUCGGCGGUGCGCUGGCUCUGCUCAUCCUGUCCAUGGUGGUGGUGAAGUGUAUACGGCGUCACAAGAAACAGGAGCUCAUUUCUGACGAGCAGAAGAUGGAGGAAGAGGGCAAGCUGGAUGCAGAGGGGGGCCCCGAGGAGGGAACCAAGCAGCUAUAACCGGCCUGCAUGGUCCUGGAGGCCCAAGGUUCGCUGGAGCCCAACCUCCUCCCUCACGCUGGAAAGCAUUCCUGCCUGAAGAUGUAUAGUGACCCUUGCUUGAAUCCUCAUCCAGCAUCUGCCUCACCCCACGCCGCCUCCCUCCCUCCUCUUGUCCAUCCAAACAAGAUUGCAGUUAUGGGAAGCCCCAGCCACCAGCCACGCCACCAACGCCACCCCUGCCUCUAUCUUCAGUCAGUCUUAUCUCCUCUCUUCUUUGACGGGGAGCCACAAAAGGUGGAGGAGACUAGUAGACAGCAGUCUCCAAACGACAUUCCUCUUUCCCCUUUUUCUCGCUUGUAGUCUAGCUUAAGAUAGAGAUGUAAGACCUUAAUUUGAUCACCCUGUAGCAGCAUAACUUUCCUACAAUGCAGGAUGUUUAAAAUGUGUACUGUAUUGGAGGUUUAAAAAGGCUUCUGAAGUUUUCCCUUAUGAAAAAUGCAUCAACUCUUAGAAAAAGAUCAAUUCAUUCUAAUUCACAUUUCCUGUUGCUGCAGGACUAUUUUCCUGCUGUAGCAAACUGGCUCAAAUUAAGAUCCUACAUCUGUAGAGUAAAUGGAUGGUUUGACAUCCAUGGUUACUGGGAAAGAUCCUGCUCUCUCUCUAUCGCUCUCUUAAAUUGUUGUCUUCUAACUUGCCACUCCAUUGGAUAACAAAUUAUUUACUUCCAAAUCAUAUAAUUCUCUCUCGCUCUCUCUCGCUCACUCUCUCUCGCUCUAAUUCUUUUGCUCUGUCACAUUACUUAGCGAUGCAUAAUGGCUGGGGCAAAAAAAGUUCCCUUUUUUUUCUGACAGCUAGUGUGUGUGUGUCCAAAUUAUACCUUUCUGUGGGAGAAUGGUGUGGGUGUAUUUUUGUCUGUGUGUGUUAGUUUUUAUGUACAGGGUAUAAGGUUGUGAAUGACCUUCAGAUGUAACUACGAUCAGUGUGGGUGGUGUGUGUGUGUGUGUGUGUGUGUGUGUGUGUGUGUGUGUGUGUGUGUGUGUGUGUGUGUGUGUGUGUGUGUGUGUGUGUGUGUGUGUGUGUGUGUGUGUGUGUGUGUGUGUGUGUGUGUGUGUGUGUGUGUGUGUGUGUGUGUGUGUGUGUGUGUAUUUGAGAAUGUGUUUGAGUGUCCUUAGAGUGUCCGAGUGUCUUUCCUUCAAACUCAGAGUCUCCCUUCAUGGAGAAGCCAGGCAUGAUUUUAUCAGUAGUCAACUCUUCUGAACCCUUGCUUCACCUCCAAUAUGAUAUUUUAGCCUGUGUUGCUUGCUCAUACAUCGAAACAAACAUACAUCGAAACAACACACAUUUGUAUUGCUAUGAAUAAAGCUAGUACAAUAUCAUACAUAAGCAUGACAUUUUUUGCAUACAUUUUGCAUACAUUAAGACAGGCACAAUUCUGUCUACAAUGGAUUGUGGGUUCGAUUCCCACGGGGGGCCAGUACCAAAAAAAAUAAAUGCAUGAAAUGUAUGCAUUCACUACUGUAAGUCGCUCUGGAUAAGAGCGUCUGCUAAAUGACAAAAAAUGUAAAAUGGAUAGAUCAUUAAUGGUCUGACAUUAUAUACUAACUGACAUUGUACAAAAAGCCCAAUCCCCAAAUGAUGUCCCCCUUUUGUCCACAUGCAGUAACCCUUACACAACACCUGAAUGUCCGGCCCUAGUUGGUUGUUGACACACAAAUGAGCACACAGACACACUGGCUAUACGUGAUCCAACACAUUGGCUUCAAACACCACAUACAGCCGUGUAGCUGUUUUGCACAUCAGAAGUCCAAACGCUGAGGCCUACACAUACAUAAAAGCUGAGCACUUUCAGGGAAAACAGAAAAAAAAGUACAAUAGAGAAAAAUUUAUAUCAGAUACAUAUAUUUAUACGUUUUGACCAAAUACCAAGCUGUACUCUAGAGGUGUGCUUUGAUUGUUGUCGCUAUUUACGUGUGGUCCUCACUGUCUUAAACUAUCAAUGUUUGAAUGUAUGAGACCUCUCUCCUCUGAGGUAAUUGAUCUUGGAUGUUCUUUGGAUGUUACAUAUUUAGCUCUAUUAGUAUUGCACUGGUUGUGAAUGUAUUUGGGAGACAACGUGAGAUGUCCAAGUUGACGUAACAACUACUUUUGAAAUGAAUAUACGAUCAAUCAUUCCACUUUCCACCCACUGAAUUUCAAACUACCUUCACAGAUGUAGGGCUUACGUUACAUUAUCACACAAGUAUUAUAAUGUAUGUAAGUCUGUGAAGGAUCACACAAAGUAUCCAAAAGCACAGAUAAACUGUGGAUUUGCUAAACAAUAUCACAACCCUAAAAUAGUAACAUUUAUUUAUUUUAGUCAAAAUGUGUAAAAUGUUACCUUCAUUUGAUCCUUGUGUUUAAACGUCUUGGCUUUGUAUUUUCCAACAGACAGUGUUGGGGGAGCAGAUAGCCUAUGGGAGUGUGACUGUAGGUUGGCAGAAUAUGACUGGGUGCCUCUGGUGUUGUCUGAUGUGGUUUUAAGGCCUAAAGCCAGGGGCCACGCUGAUUCUGUGCCCAGGAGUGCCCUACCUCAUCUGGAGACAGUCUCUCCCUGUCUCUGCAAUGGGCACUGCAUUCAUAGGCUGCCUUUAUGUUAUUCACUGCCAAAGCUUGUUUCUUUUAUACUUUGUUUCUUAUUAUUUGUCUCCUCAAAUCCGUCGUAGUUUAGAUUUCAUUUGAUUGAGUAUUGUAUUUUGACAUUGUUGAGUUUUGUACCACAUAGUUAUGUAAUUUGUACUUUAUGAUGUGACUUUGUGGUUGUCCUAGCUGUUGACGUUGUGGUAGCUAUCAUUACCUGGUCUUUGGGAAGUUAGCCUGAGUUUGGGGAGCUCACAUCUGAAAGAUCAUUAAUUAAACAGAGGAAGGUCAAUGCUGAUCUCCACUUGUAGGGUGUACACGCUCCCUUUCUAGAAUGACUUAAUUACUAAUUACUAUAUGAAUUAAUUAAACUUCUGUGCAAUUGUGACUGUGGUGUUAAUCAGUUUGUAUGGAGUCUGAGACAUCAGCUAGAUGCAUGGUUAGAAGUCUGGGAAGCUUGUUGUCACAACCAGAGAAUAUAUAUCUAGGUCACAAUCAGACUUAAUUUCCAAAGUAAUGAUGGCACCUCAAGAAUUAACCAAAACAAUUAUAAUUUAGAUUGUACUGUAUUUUAUACAUGAACACAGACACACAGUGCUACCAAUGGGUAGGGGACAAAGCACAUGUUCCAAAAAAAAAAUAGAAUAAUCUGUAGCCUAAUGAAAUCAACAUGACCUCCAUUUCUCCCGUCAUUCACUCUGACAUCUCUGCUGGAGUCCUGAAUGCUGGGUAGCUAGCUGGGAUAGUGGAGGUCCCGGAGUUUCGCGUUUGCCUGCCUGUCUCUGUGUGAUCAUGCAUGUUUUUACUGCAGUGUUCCUCUGUGACGCAUGGCUCUAACCAGGCCCUCUCGCACCGAACACCAGAAAUGCUUGCACUGCACUGUGUCUCUAAGAAUGAGCUGUAAUCAAUAUUGUAUUUUGAAAUAAAAAUGAGUACAUAAAUAUUA
Salmo salar (Atlantic salmon) is the source of this 4379-nucleotide RNA transcript. It is a transcript of the gene named sodium channel, voltage-gated, type II, beta, with no coding region annotated. Lineage: Eukaryota; Metazoa; Chordata; Actinopteri; Salmoniformes; Salmonidae. The record is from RefSeq and is a predicted model, not a curated record.